Molecule: long non-coding RNA, 266 nt
Filed under: Mytilus galloprovincialis (Mediterranean mussel)
Lineage: Eukaryota; Metazoa; Mollusca; Bivalvia; Mytilida; Mytilidae
Source: RNAcentral
GAAUUAACAAAAAGGCUUAUUCAAGCGAGAUAACCGCCGACAUUUUGUUGUUGUUGUUGUUAUAUUUUCGAAUGAAGACAGUGAAUAUCUUUAUUUUAUAGACACAAGAGAGAAACGCAUGCUAGAAACGUUUAAUUCAGGUAUAAACAAUGAAUAUCCUGAAAUUUUAUCUAUGCCUUAAAUUAAUGCAAAUGAUAUAAAUGUUAGGCAAUCCCACAAAUUACUUAACACGUAGAAACGUCCUUUUUAAAUUUAAAGAUUCAAAC